AUGCAGACAUUCAAAUGGCAAGACUACAUUUUCUGGAUGAAAAAGGAGAACGCAGCGAAAGCUAGCGCAUACACACUGAAGGCGAGCAUCAACGCAGCCAGCAGUGAAGCGCAGAAAUCGCCGCCAAGCAAAUGGAAGACGUUCUUCUCAAGGUCGAAAACACGGGCCGAGGAGCUGGUCGUGAAGAAUAACAUAUAUGACGUUGGCUGGAUCAGGAACCUGUGUGAGGUGAUGGUACCUUUAUCAGAGCGGAGGUCGUUCUCUUGCAAGAAGUCCGAAUGA
Molecule: ribosomal RNA, 282 nt
Filed under: Triticum aestivum (bread wheat)
Lineage: Eukaryota; Viridiplantae; Streptophyta; Magnoliopsida; Poales; Poaceae
Description: partial small subunit ribosomal RNA
Source: RNAcentral